ACUCAAAUGAAUUGACGGGGGCCCGCACAAGCGGUGGAGCAUGUGGUUUAAUUCGACGCAACGCGCAGAACCUUACCAGCCCUUGACAUGUCCAUGAUCGGUCGCAGAGAUGUGACCUUCUCUUCGGAGCAUGGAACACAGGUGCUGCAUGGCUGUCGUCAGCUCGUGUCGUGAGAUGUUGGGUUAAGUCCCGCAACGAGCGCAACCCCCGUCCUUAGUUGCUACCAUUUAGUUGAGCACUCUAAGGAGACUGCCGGUGAUAAGCCGCGAGGAAGGUGGGGAUGACGUCAAGUCCUCAUGGCCCUUACGGGCUGGGCUACACACGUGCUACAAUGGCGGUGACAGAGGGACGCAAAGACGCAAGUCUUCGCAAAUCUCAAAAAGCCGUCUCAGUUCGGAUUGGAGUCUGCAACUCGACUCCAUGAAGUUGGAAUCGCUAGUAAUCGUGGAUCAGCAUGCCACGGUGAAUACGUUCCCGGGCCUUGUACACACCGCCCGU
This 499-nucleotide ribosomal RNA is filed under the name uncultured bacterium. Its description in RNAcentral is "partial 16S ribosomal RNA". It matches the Rfam family "Bacterial small subunit ribosomal RNA", at positions 899 to 1397 of the family's 1533-position model. The record is from RNAcentral.